CAAUAGCGUAUAUUAAAGUUGUUGCGGUAAAAAAGCUCGUAGUUGGAUUUCUACCGAAGAUAGCCGGUCGGGUCUUCGACCUUGUAUCUGGUUUUGUCUUUGGUAUCCUCAUAGGGAACGUUUCUGCGCUUUAUUGCGUGGUGCGGUAUCAAUGACUUUUACUUUGAGGAAAUUAGAGUGUUCACGGCAGGCAAACGCCUUGAAUAUAUUAGCAUGGAAUAAUAACAUAGGAUCUUCGUCCUAUUUUGUUGGUUUCUAGGGCUAAGAUAAUGAUUAAUAGGGAUAAUUGGGGGCAUCUGUAUCAACGCGUCAGAGGUGGAAUUCUUGGAUUGCGUUGCGACAAACUACUGCGAAAGCAUUUGCCAAGGAUGUUUUCAUUGA
RNAcentral lists this ribosomal RNA (381 nucleotides) under uncultured eukaryote. RNAcentral's name for it is "partial 18S ribosomal RNA". It matches the Rfam family "Eukaryotic small subunit ribosomal RNA", at positions 592 to 976 of the family's 1831-position model. The record is from RNAcentral.